GGUGAGUAAUGCAUAGGAAUCUACCUAGUAGUAUGGGAUAGCCACUGGAAAUGGUGGGUAAUACCGUAUAAUCCCCGCGGGGGAAAGAUUUAUCGCUAUUAGAUGAGCCUAUGUCGGAUUAGCUAGUUGGUGGGGUAAUGGCCUACCAAGGCAGUGAUCUGUAGCUGGUCUGAGAGGAUGAUCAGCCACACUGGAACUGAGACACGGUCCAGACUCCUACGGGAGGCAGCAGUGGGGAAUAUUGGACAAUGGGCGCAAGCCUGAUCCAGCUAUGCCGCGUGAGUGAGGAAGGCCUUAGGGUUGUAAAACUCUUUCAGUAGGGAAGAUAAUGACGGUACCUA
RNAcentral lists this ribosomal RNA (341 nucleotides) under Anaplasma phagocytophilum. RNAcentral's name for it is "bacterial SSU rRNA". It matches the Rfam family "Bacterial small subunit ribosomal RNA", at positions 105 to 481 of the family's 1533-position model. Lineage: Bacteria; Pseudomonadati; Pseudomonadota; Alphaproteobacteria; Rickettsiales; Anaplasmataceae. The record is from RNAcentral.